ACAUACAACCAUAGACUCAAGAGAACUAGGCAUCCUGUCCGCUCUGCUAUACAUAACCUUGAGAUCAGUGGAUUAGUAGUUGGGUAGGUGACCACUAGCGAAUACCUACUGUUGUAUGUU
Molecule: ribosomal RNA, 120 nt
Organism: Pseudogymnoascus pannorum
Lineage: Eukaryota; Fungi; Ascomycota; Leotiomycetes; Thelebolales; Thelebolaceae
Source: Rfam